This 690-nucleotide long non-coding RNA is filed under the name Glycine max (soybean). Its description in RNAcentral is "long non-coding RNA (GMAX_LNC002595)". Lineage: Eukaryota; Viridiplantae; Streptophyta; Magnoliopsida; Fabales; Fabaceae. The record is from RNAcentral.
GACACCAAGUCCACAAAAUUAUAUUUUCUUCUUGCAUGCAUAUAUAAUACACGUUCAACAUCUUACCUUCUAACUAGUAGAAUAGUAUGGUGUGUUGCUUCAUAGUUUAUAGAUAUGAAUGUUCCUAGCUAUAUAAUUUCACUACUAAAAAGCAAUGAAUCAGUGACUAAGUUUAGUGGAGAAAAGAACUGUUUUUUCUUUAUCAACUCUGGUGUCACUAAAUUAUAGUGACCAAUUUUUUUAAAAUUUAUAUAUAUAAAUUAUUUCUUCACUAGUUUUAAUUUUUCUAGUGAUAUAAAGGGAAAAAAAUAUUUUUUGUUAUCAUUGAUAUGAAAUAUUUUUUGAAGGGAUGAUGUGAUACCUGAAAUACCGGCGGUGCAGUAAACAAGGAUGAAGAUCAUGCCACCAAAGGCCCAAGCGAUGCCCAAAAUGCCAACCCCAUCACAGUCGGUGCCACCUACCGUUGUAUCAGUCUGCCUUUUGUAGCCAAUAAUGGUGAGCACAGUGACAUAAAGGAAGAGAAGGGUUGCUAUGAACUCAGCGAUGAGGGCUCUAUAGAAGGACCACUGUGUGAGCUCCUCUGGGUCGAACAAAGGUGCUGGAGGAGGGUCAUGGUAGUCUUUGGCAGAGUACUCUCCUCCUUGCUCUUGAACCUCAACAUCUUUAGCCAUUUCUCAAUUCUCACAGAGC